GAUGAACGCUGGCGGCGUGCCUAAUACAUGCAAGUAGAACGCUGAAGGAGGAUCUUGCUCUUCUGGAUGAGUUGCGAACGGGUGAGUAACGCGUAGGUAACCUGCCUGGUAGCGGGGGAUAACUAUUGGAAACGAUAGCUAAUACCGCAUGACAACAGUUAUUGCAUGAUAACUGUUUAAAAGGGGCAACUGCUCCACUACCAGAUGGACCUGAGUUGUAUUAGGUAGUUGGUGAGGUAACGGCUCACCAAGGCGACGGAACAUAGCAGACCUGAGAGGGUGAACGGCCAAAAUGGGAAGGAGACAAGGCCAAGAAUAAUAAGGGAGGCAGAAGGAGGGAAACAUGGGAAAAGGACGGAAGACAGAACGAGAAACGACGCGGGAGUGAAGAAGGAUGUCGGAUCGUAAAGCUCUGUUGUAAGAGAAGAAAGAGAGUGAGAGUGGAAAGUUCACAGUGUGACGGUAUCUAAACAGAAAGGGACGGCUAACUACGUG
RNAcentral lists this ribosomal RNA (495 nucleotides) under uncultured bacterium. Its description in RNAcentral is "partial 16S ribosomal RNA". It matches the Rfam family "Bacterial small subunit ribosomal RNA", at positions 28 to 507 of the family's 1533-position model. The record is from RNAcentral.